Non-coding RNA from Pelobates cultripes (western spadefoot toad), 221 nucleotides. Lineage: Eukaryota; Metazoa; Chordata; Amphibia; Anura; Pelobatidae. The record is from the annotation of a GenBank genome assembly.
CGAAUAUAGAUGGAGGUGGAAUUCCCAGCGGUGUUUCGUGCCGUCGAGUGUCCGAUUUCAGUCCCAUGAACUCGAUGGCAAAACACAGCUGACCGCGUUUGAUUAAACAAGAUGGCCGCCGCCACGUAUUCGACUAUACGAACGGCGACCACCCAGCCGUUCGUCAAUUAAGCUGCGGUUAACCACAGCUUCUGGGAGGUUAACAGGCUGCACACUCCACU